RNAcentral lists this long non-coding RNA (382 nucleotides) under Mus musculus (house mouse). Its description in RNAcentral is "predicted gene, 50383". The record is from RNAcentral. Lineage: Eukaryota; Metazoa; Chordata; Mammalia; Rodentia; Muridae.
UUUCCCUUUCUUUCUUUCUCUUUCUUUCCUUUUCUUUCUAUCUUUUUCUUUCUAUCUUUCUUCCUUCCUUCCCUUCCUUUCCCUUCUCUUUUUUCUUUUCUUCUUUUCUUUUCUUUGGUUUUUCCAGACAGGAAUUCCUGGCUGUCCUGGACCCACUGUGUAGACCAGGCUCUUUAAACAGUAAGCAGGAGGCAAAUCAGCUGCCGUGGCUGGAGAAGACCAGGGACCGAAGACAGUUCUUAAAAUGAACAGAUGACACAAAAUUCUGUACAAUUAUGAACUACAGAUAAAAGGGACUUCAAUUGUAGUUCCCUAAUUCCUAUUCUGAUUCCCAUUCAAGAUCUGAGAACCCCAAGGGGAGGGGGGACCUGGAGAUGUGGCU